AGAGACUUUUAUAACAACAAGGGUGAAAUCUGUACUCAAGUUAAAUUUCUUGUUUAAAGCAUCUUUUAGGUAGUUAAACGACUAGGAUUAGAUACCCUAUUAGUCUAUCCUUAGUUAACCUGGGUAGUAACAUUAAAACCUAAAGAAUUUGGCGGUUUCUAAACUUACUAGAGGAACCUGUCCCGUAAACGACAACCCACGAAAAAAUCAACCCAGACUUGUUAUCCAGCUUAUAUACCGUCGUUUAGGGGAUUAAACAAAUAGAUCUCCUUAAGAGCUUAGGCUAAUAAAUCAGAUCAAGGUGUAGCUUAUGUUUGGGUGAGGAUGGGUUACAAUGAAAAUUCAUACGGAACCUUUAUAUUAUUGUAAAGGAGAAGGUGGAUUUAGAAGUAAGACUUAACACACUGAAGAAAGCCCUGAGAAAUGUACACAUCGCCCGUCGCUCUCUUGUCCGAAGAGAUAAGUCGUAACAAAGUAGGUGUAUCGGAAGGUUCAUCUUGAAAGA
RNAcentral lists this ribosomal RNA (505 nucleotides) under Artemia sinica. Its description in RNAcentral is "partial 12S ribosomal RNA". It matches the Rfam family "Eukaryotic small subunit ribosomal RNA", at positions 922 to 1825 of the family's 1831-position model. The record is from RNAcentral. Lineage: Eukaryota; Metazoa; Arthropoda; Branchiopoda; Anostraca; Artemiidae.